AAGAGCGUAUGGUGGAUGCCUUGGCACUAAGAGCCGAUGAAAGACGUGAUAAGCUGCGAAAAGCUUCGGGGAGGAGCAAAUAUCCUGAGAUCCGGAGAUAUCUGAAUGGGGAAACCUACUUGAGAAGACCUCAAGUAUCCACAGCCCAAUCCAUAAGCUGUGGAAGGGAACCCGGUGAACUGAAACAUCUAAGUAGCCGGAGGAAGAGAAAACAACAUGUGAUUCCGUAAGUAGCGGCGAGCGAACGCGGAAGAGCCCAAACCGGAGUGCGUGCACUCCGGGGUUCGGACUGCAGGAUUGACGAGUGAGCCUAGUAGAAUGGUUUUGGGAAAGCCAGCCAGAGAGGGUGAAAGCCCCGUACACGAAAGGCAAGCGAGCAUGGCAGGAUCCAGAGUACCACGAGACACGUGAAACCUUGUGGGAAUGAGCGGGGACCACCCCGUAAGGCUAAAUACUCCUUAGUGACCGAUAGCGCAUAGUACUGUGAAGGAAAGGUGAAAAGGACCCCGGGAGGGGAGUGAAAGAGAACCUGAAACCAUAUGUUUACAAGCUGUGGAAGAGCUUUACAUGCUCAACCGCGUACUUUUUGUAGAACGGUCCGGCGAGUUGCGCUGGCUGGCGAGGUUAAGGACUGAAGGUCCGGAGCCGAAGGGAAACCAAGUCUGAAUAGGGCGAAUAUAGUCAGUCGGAGCAGACCCGAAACCGGGUGAUCUACCCAUGUCCAGGUUGAAGUUGCCGUAAAAGGCAAUGGAGGACCGAACGCACAUCCGUUGAAAAGGGUGGCGAUGAGGUGUGGGUAGGGGAGAAAUUCCAAUCGAACCCGGAGAUAGCUGGUUCUCCUCGAAAUAGCUUUAGGGCUAGCCUCAUGCAAGUCUUACGGAGGUAGAGCACUGAAUUCCUAAGGGGGCGUCAAAGCUUACCAAGGGAUAUCAAACUCCGAAUGCCGUGUAGAUGGUGCAUGGGAGUCAGACUAUCCGAGAUAAGUUGGGUAGUCAAAAGGGAAAGAGCCCAGACCUACAGCUAAGGUCCCAAAAUGUGUGUUAAGUGGAAAAGGAUGUGGGAUUUCGAAGACAACCAGGAUGUUGGCUCAGAAGCAGCCAUCCAUUCAAAGAGUGCGUAAUAGCUCACUGGUCGAGAGGUCCUGCGCCGAAAAUGUCCGGGGCUGAAACACACUACCGAAGCCGUGGAAUCAUCGCAAGAUGAUUGGUAGAGGAGCAUUCUUAAAGAGAAGAAGCUGUACCGGAAGGAGCAGUGGAUUUUUAAGAAGAGAGAAUGCCGGAAUGAGUAGCGAGAGGAAGGUGAGAAUCCUUCCGGCCGAAUAUCCAAGGUUUCCAGAGUAAAGCUGAUCUGCUCUGGGUAAGUCGGGGCCUAAGGCGAGGUCGAAAGACGUAGUCGAUGGAUAACAGGUUGAAAUUCCUGUACUAUGAUAUGACAGAACUGUGGGGACACGUGUGGAAAGCGGAAGCCGGGAAUGGAAAGACCGGUGCAAGCAAGGUAGGAGACUGGUUGGCAAAUCCGCCAGUCAAUCUGAAGAUGUGAUGCGUACUGAAAUAUAAGUAAGGAAGUCCGUGAGCCAUGCGUCAAGAAAAGCCGCUAUUGUUCAUAUCGUACCCGUACCGUAAACCGACACAGGUGGAUGAGGAGAGAAUCCUAAGGCCGACGGAAGAAGCAUUGUUAAGGAACUCGGCAAAAUGACCCCGUAACUUCGGGAGAAGGGGUGCCCACUGAAUGGUGGGCCGCAGAGAAUAGGCUCAAGCAACUGUUUAGCAAAAACACAGGUCUAUGCGAAACCGAAAGGUGAGGUAUAUGGGCUGACGCCUGCCCGGUGCUGGAAGGUUAAGGGGAGAGGUUAGCGCAAGCGAAGCUUUGAACUUAAGCCCCAGUAAACGGCGGCCGUAACUAUAACGGUCCUAAGGUAGCGAAAUUCCUUGUCGGGUAAGUUCCGACCCGCACGAAAGGCGUAAUGAUUUGAGCGCUGUCUCGACAAUGCAUCCGGUGAAAUUGAAGUACCAGUGAAGAUGCUGGUUACC
This 2030-nucleotide ribosomal RNA is filed under the name human gut metagenome. RNAcentral describes it as "bacterial LSU rRNA". It matches the Rfam family "Bacterial large subunit ribosomal RNA", at positions 13 to 2070 of the family's 2925-position model. The record is from RNAcentral.